This 345-nucleotide ribosomal RNA is filed under the name Salmonella enterica subsp. enterica serovar Chittagong. Its description in RNAcentral is "bacterial SSU rRNA". It matches the Rfam family "Bacterial small subunit ribosomal RNA", at positions 678 to 1022 of the family's 1533-position model. The record is from RNAcentral. Lineage: Bacteria; Pseudomonadati; Pseudomonadota; Gammaproteobacteria; Enterobacterales; Enterobacteriaceae.
GCGGUGAAAUGCGUAGAGAUCUGGAGGAAUACCGGUGGCGAAGGCGGCCCCCUGGACAAAGACUGACGCUCAGGUGCGAAAGCGUGGGGAGCAAACAGGAUUAGAUACCCUGGUAGUCCACGCCGUAAACGAUGUCUACUUGGAGGUUGUGCCCUUGAGGCGUGGCUUCCGGAGCUAACGCGUUAAGUAGACCGCCUGGGGAGUACGGCCGCAAGGUUAAAACUCAAAUGAAUUGACGGGGGCCCGCACAAGCGGUGGAGCAUGUGGUUUAAUUCGAUGCAACGCGAAGAACCUUACCUGGUCUUGACAUCCACGGAAGUUUUCAGAGAUGAGAAUGUGCCUUCG